GGGCCUGCGGAAGGAUCAUUA
Molecule: ribosomal RNA, 21 nt
Filed under: Trichophyton verrucosum
Lineage: Eukaryota; Fungi; Ascomycota; Eurotiomycetes; Onygenales; Arthrodermataceae
Also listed under: 1 other name
Description: partial 18S ribosomal RNA
Source: RNAcentral